AUUGAGGAAAAAGAAGCUGAAGGAGCCGAG
RNAcentral lists this non-coding RNA (30 nucleotides) under Cricetulus griseus (Chinese hamster). Lineage: Eukaryota; Metazoa; Chordata; Mammalia; Rodentia; Cricetidae. The record is from RNAcentral.